RNAcentral lists this long non-coding RNA (2692 nucleotides) under Gallus gallus (chicken). RNAcentral describes it as "long non-coding RNA NONGGAT006596". The record is from RNAcentral. Lineage: Eukaryota; Metazoa; Chordata; Aves; Galliformes; Phasianidae.
GAACGGGGUCAACCCCUCCCCCAGCGGGCACGGAGGCACCGCCACCCACCGCCCGCCCGGGGCUCGGGGCCGCUCGCAGACAAAGGGCCCCGGGGAGGGGAUGCGGGGAGGAGGAGGCGGCCCCGCAGCGACUCGCCCUGCCCGCCGCGCUCACCCAUGCUGCGCCCGCCCGCCCGAGCUCGGCGGAGCGGCUCCGGGUCCCGCCGAGGCGCUCAAGCCGGGCACGGCGGCUCCAUCCGCGCCGCUCCGGGCGUCAGGGGCGCUCCGAGCCGCCGGCGGCCCGGGAGGUGAGGGGGAGGCGGCCGCGCAGCCGUCCCGUCAGUCCGCCGCUCCGAGCGCCGUUCCGACAGCACCGCCCGCGACGGGGCCGCCGCCGCCAAAUCCCGCGAGAGCCGGGCGCCGCCGCCCCCACGCCGCGUGCCGUUGCCAGGCGGGAUGACGUCACAGCCAUUUCCCCGUCCCCCCUCGCGCUGCGGUGCGGGGUCCCCGAGUGGCGGCGGCGGAGCGGUCGGGCGGAGCGCGGAGGGCCGCCCGGCGCUGCCCGCUGCUAAGGCAGAUCGCACGGGAGAGGUGUUUUUUUCCCCACUUCCUCCAAGGAACAACACACUGCAAAAGGAUAAAGGCUGAUCCAGUAUAGCAACCUUUCUGAGACCUGCCUUAAGGCUAAGAUGAACAUUCAGGAGCUUUGGACCCGCCCUGAUGCUCACACUGACAUCAGGCCAGCCAUGCCCUUCUCUUUGGUCUACAGCUCAGUGGAGAGCAAAGCAGUGAUUCUCAGCCUGCACACCAGUCUUUGCAGAAAUGGAAGCCUGCUCAUGUAUGAGCUGCAGCAUCCUCAGGGCCUGUCCUUAGUGCUGCUGGAGGAGUGAGCAGAAGGAAAUGACAUCUGUGCCAGAUGGAGAAACCUGAACGUGGAGGCUUCAGAACUUCCCCCCAGAGGACAAGGAAUUAAAGGAACUUCGUCUUGUGAACCAAAGUCACGUGUCGGCUGUUAUCAGCUACUUCUUGCCUUCUUGCACAGCCAUAUCUGUCAAUACCACAUGGAAGCACACAGCCCGUAGUGUUGAGGAGCUUUGCCUGCAAAAUUCCUGCUUUUGUUUUGAGACUGCUCCUAUGAGCAGAUACUCCCUUCAAUGGCACCUUAAUGGUUACACAGGGCACUGAGGAAGGCUCAAACCUUCAUAACUACAGUACAGCUCCCUCCAUCCAGGUACACUGGGCGUUUGGCAUUCAUACGAAGUUUCUUUGGCAGGCACUGCUUACCAUUUCCUCAUAUUAACAUCUAUCACAAAGAAAUCUCAUCUUCGGGCUCCAGCAGCCUAAUGGCUUCCUUCAGCAUCUGAAUACAUCAACAGCUGUGGCUUCAGCCAUUUUGUCUGACCAAACUGAGAGCGGCCCAAAACCUGCUUCUGCACCAGGAGGGGAUAAAGGAGCCUCUUCUUCUGCAGAGAAGGCUUCCCACAAAACAUACAGAAUUGCAAACAUAAUUCUUCCUUCUCUCCACAGUCCUGAUCGCAGCAAUCUGAAGGCAGAAUGUUUACUCAAAAGGGAGUAUGUCUUUAAACAUCACAAGGCGUGCUUACAGCACUGUGCUGCACAGACAUUGUGUAUCAGAGUACGUGUCUGUGCCACAGAUGAGGCGAUGAUGUCAGCUGAAAAUGCCCUUGUGCCCAGCUGGCAGCAGUGCUGGUGUGCAGCCCUGCUGUGCUGUCACUGUGCUGCUGAGAGCUGCUGCUGCUGGGAAGGGCCAUUCUGUGACACUGCACUUCUGUCUCCUGCUUUCAUGCUAUUUCAGUGCUCUCUGUCUUUGCUCAUGCUGUUCAGCGUGCAGACCUAGCAGAAAGCCUUGAAGGCAGUAAAUUGUCAGAGCAGUCUGGACUUGCAAUGAGCUAUUUUAUGACCAAGUACAGAAAUUCUUCACUUCUUAUUUCAUUCAAAAGUUGUGUGAUUUGAGCAUGAUUGUCCUGGGCUUUUUGUUUCUUUCUUUGUUUUUUUUCCCCCCUCUUUUAAUGCAAGUGAGGAAAAGCCUCACCCUGCAGGCAUGAAAACAGCAUUCUCCAUAGUGAGGACUCUUAGGAGCCUUUUGGAGAAAGGGGUCUGGAGUUAUCUGUGUGUUUACAUCUUCUGCAUUGAUUUCUCUAAGCUGACAGUGCAGUGGGCAGUGCAUCAAUAUGCAGUCUGUGGUGAGAGAGACCAAGGCAUUGCAGGGCAUGCACACUUGUCUGUUGCCUCAUGCCAGAGCUCAGUGCCAUGCCUCUUCUCAGCAUCAAACAUAGGAUCAUCACUGACAUCAGUGACAGCGCAGCCUUUUUGUGAGCGCUGUGCAGCCUCUGCAGUUUAUAAAUAGCAUUCCCAAGGGACAGCUGCAGAAUGACCCAGAUUGACCAAAAUACACCGUGUUUAGAAAAUUCCAUGCUAAAACAGCCCUUCCCCUGACGGGUACACAUCCUUGACUCUAUUUCUGCUCCAACGCUCAUCGGCAUUUCAGCCAGGAGGAAAAGCAGCUCCUCUUGGGCUGUCACGACAGUGAGGUGACAGAGGCAAAGAAAAGAAGUUUGGCUUUCUGUGUUGUCAAGUAAAAGGUUCUCCAGUUUGCAUUUCAGUCGGGACCGUGGACUGAGAUUUUGUCUCCUUUCCCAAAUAAAAUGCGAAUAACCGCAGCUUUGAUGUAUGCAAUCACAGAAAAAUAUCA